GCCUACGGGGGGCAGCAGUAGGGAAUUGUCGUCAAUGGGCGCAAGCCUGAACGAGCAAUGCCGCGUGAACGAGGAAGGUCUUCGGAUCGUAAAGUUCUGUUGAAGGGGAAAAAGAGCGGAGAGAGGAAAUGGUCUCCGAUUGAUAUUACCCUUCGAGGAAGUCACGGCUAACUACGUGCCAGCAGCCGCGGUAAUACGUAGGUGGCGAGCGUUAUCCGGAAUGAUUGGGCGUAAAGGGUGCGUAGGCGGCCUGCUAAGUCUGGAGUGAAAGGUACCGGCUCAACCGGUACAGGCUCUGGAAACUG
Molecule: ribosomal RNA, 305 nt
Filed under: uncultured bacterium
Lineage: Bacteria
Description: bacterial SSU rRNA
Rfam family: Bacterial small subunit ribosomal RNA
Source: RNAcentral